Molecule: ribosomal RNA, 253 nt
Filed under: uncultured bacterium
Lineage: Bacteria
Description: partial 16S ribosomal RNA
Rfam family: Bacterial small subunit ribosomal RNA
Source: RNAcentral
UACGUAGGUGGCAAGCGUUAUCCGGAAUUAUUGGGCGUAAAGCGCGCGUAGGCGGUUUUUUAAGGCUGAUGUGAAAGCCCACGGCUCAACCGUGGAGGGUCAUUGGAAACUGGAAGACUUGAGUGCUGAAGAGGAAAGUGGAAUUCCAGGUGUAGCGGUGAAAUGCGCAGAGAUAUGGAGGAACACCAAUGGCGAAGGCGGCUUUCUGGUCUGCAACUGACGCUGAUGUGCGAAAGCGUGGGUAUCAAACAGG